ACGUCAUAUGGGACAAUCCUUAAAUGCCCCUCCUUUAAGAAGGCAGACUGGAGCGUGAUGGUUAGGGUUGCCUUGAUCCGUGACUAUGACUGUCUAAUCAGGGCUUGGAACACCUUGACUGCUCUUACCUGGU
Small nucleolar RNA from Acomys russatus (golden spiny mouse), 133 nucleotides. RefSeq annotates it as U8 small nucleolar RNA. NCBI's taxonomy places the organism in Eukaryota, Metazoa, Chordata, Mammalia, Rodentia, Muridae. The transcript has a single exon. The record is from RefSeq and is a predicted model, not a curated record.